RNAcentral lists this transfer RNA (74 nucleotides) under Bdellovibrionales bacterium. RNAcentral describes it as "tRNA-Arg". It matches the Rfam family "tRNA". Rfam says of the family: Transfer RNA (tRNA) molecules are approximately 80 nucleotides in length. Lineage: Bacteria; Pseudomonadati; Bdellovibrionota; Bdellovibrionia; Bdellovibrionales. The record is from RNAcentral.
GCGCCCAUAGCUCAACGGGAUAGAGCAGCAGACUUCUAAUCUGCAGGUUCCAGGUUCGAGUCCUGGUGGGCGUA